This 253-nucleotide ribosomal RNA is filed under the name uncultured bacterium. RNAcentral describes it as "partial 16S ribosomal RNA". It matches the Rfam family "Bacterial small subunit ribosomal RNA", at positions 524 to 776 of the family's 1533-position model. The record is from RNAcentral.
UACGGAGGGGGCUAGCGUUGUUCGGAAUUACUGGGCGUAAAGCGUCCGUAGGCGGCUUUUUAAGUCAGAGGUGAAAUCCCCGGGCUCAACCUGGGACCUGCAUUUGUGACUGCAUAGCUAGAGUACGGUAGAGGGGGAUGGAAUUCCGCGUGUAGCAGUGAAAUUCGUAGAUAUGCGGAGGAACACCGAUGGCGAAGGCAAUCCCCUGGACCUGUACUGACGCUCAUGCACGAAAGCGUGGGGAGCAAACAGG